CCCGAUCGGACCCCGGACGUGAAGUCGACGAUGGUCGGUGGGCUGGUUUUGGUAAGCAGAACGGGCGAUUCGGGAUGAACCGGAAGCGGGGAGAAAGGGCCCGAGAUUGCGUCGACGCGGAUCCCCGAAAAGGGCGUCGAUCCGUCGCGACAGCGGGACGGUGGUCAUGGAAGUCGAAAUCCGCUAAGAAGCGUGUAAAAACGUCCCGCCCAACGGAUCGGCCCCGAAAAUUGAUGGCGCUCGAACGCAACCCUCGAACCCCGCCGACGGAGGCUAGGGGAGGCCCCGUCGAGUAGGCGGACGCGCGGGUCGCUUCGACGCUCCCGCGCGAGCGGGGGCGGAGCGGCCCGUGGUGCAGAUCUUGGUGGUAGUAGCGAUCACCCAGGCGAGAACCCUGAGGGCCGAAGUGGAGAAGGGUUUCUCGAGAACGGCACUCGCUCGAGAGUUAGUCGAUCCUAAGCUGCCGGCGGCAGCCACGAAACGGUCGAUCGGGCGCGAG
Molecule: ribosomal RNA, 499 nt
Filed under: uncultured eukaryote
Lineage: Eukaryota
Description: eukaryotic LSU rRNA
Rfam family: Eukaryotic large subunit ribosomal RNA
Source: RNAcentral